UACAGAGGGGGCAAGCGUUGUUCGGAAUUACUGGGCGUAAAGGGCGCGUAGGCGGCCUGUUAAGUCGAACGUGAAAUCCCGAGGCUCAACCUCGGGUCUGCAUCCGAUACUGCCCGGCUAGAGGUAGGUAGGGGAGAUCGGAAUUCCUGGUGUAGCGGUGAAAUGCGCAGAUAUCAGGAGGAACACCGGUGGCGAAGGCGGGUCUCUGGGCAAUAACUGACGCUGAGGAGCGAAAGCGUGGGAGCGAACAGG
Molecule: ribosomal RNA, 252 nt
Filed under: uncultured bacterium
Lineage: Bacteria
Description: partial 16S ribosomal RNA
Rfam family: Bacterial small subunit ribosomal RNA
Source: RNAcentral